RNAcentral lists this transfer RNA (72 nucleotides) under Marmota monax (woodchuck). It matches the Rfam family "tRNA". Rfam says of the family: Transfer RNA (tRNA) molecules are approximately 80 nucleotides in length. Their secondary structure includes four short double-helical elements and three loops (D, anti-codon, and T loops). Further hydrogen bonds mediate the characteristic L-shaped molecular structure. tRNAs have two regions of fundamental functional importance: the anti-codon, which is responsible for specific mRNA codon recognition, and the 3' end, to which the tRNAs corresponding amino acid is attached (by aminoacyl-tRNA synthetases). tRNAs cope with the degeneracy of the genetic code in two manners: having more than one tRNA (with a specific anti-codon) for a particular amino acid; and 'wobble' base-pairing, i.e. permitting non-standard base-pairing at the 3rd anti-codon position. Lineage: Eukaryota; Metazoa; Chordata; Mammalia; Rodentia; Sciuridae. The record is from Rfam by way of RNAcentral.
AGGGAUGUAGCUCAGUGGUAGAGUGCUUGCCUAGCAUGUAUGUGGUUCUGGGUUUGAUCCUCAACACCACAG